GACGAACGCUGGCGGCGUGGAUAAGGCAUGCAAGUCGAACGGGAUGGGGAUUCAAGCAAUUGUGUCCCUUGAGAGUGGCGAACGGGUGAGUAACACGUGGGUAACCUGCCCAUAAGAGGGGGAUAACAUCCGGAAACGGUGCUAAUACCGCAUAGGUUUCUUGGUCGCAUGAUUGAGAAGGAAGGCGGCCUUUGUGCUGUCGCUUAUGGAUGGACCCG
Molecule: ribosomal RNA, 218 nt
Filed under: uncultured bacterium
Lineage: Bacteria
Description: partial 16S ribosomal RNA
Rfam family: Bacterial small subunit ribosomal RNA
Source: RNAcentral